UAGGGAAUCUUCGGCAAUGGGGGGAACCCUGACCGAGCAACGCCGCGUGAGUGAAGAAGGUUUUCGGAUCGUAAAGCUCUGUUGUUAAGGAAGAACGAGUGUGAGAAUGGAAAGUUCAUGCUGUGACGGUACUUAACCAGAAAGGGACGGCUAACUACGUGCCAGCAGCCGCGGUAAUACGUAGGUCCCGAGCGUUGUCCGGAUUUAUUGGGCGUAAAGCGAGCGCAGGCGGUUAGAAAAGUCUGAAGUGAAAGGCAGUGGCUCAACAAUUGUAGGCUUUGGAAACUGUUUAACUUGAGUGCAGAAGGGGGGAGUGGAAUUCCAUGUGUAGCGGUGAAAUGCGUAGAUAUAUGGAGGAACACCGGUGGCGAAAGCGGCUCUCUGGUCUGUAACUGACGCUGAGGCUCGAAAGCGUGGGGAGCGAACAGG
RNAcentral lists this ribosomal RNA (429 nucleotides) under Verrucomicrobiota bacterium. Its description in RNAcentral is "Verrucomicrobia bacterium partial 16S ribosomal RNA". It matches the Rfam family "Bacterial small subunit ribosomal RNA", at positions 355 to 776 of the family's 1533-position model. The record is from RNAcentral. Lineage: Bacteria; Pseudomonadati; Verrucomicrobiota.